GAUGAACGCUGGCGGCGUGCCUAAUACAUGCAAGUCGAGCGAACGGACGAGAAGCUUGCUUCUCUGAUGUUAGCGGCGGACGGGUGAGUAACACGUGGAUAACCUACCUAUAAGACUGGGAUAACUUCGGGAAACCGGAGCUAAUACCGGAUAAUAUUUUGAACCGCAUGGUUCAAAAGUGAAAGACGGUCUUGCUGUCACUUAUAGAUGGAUCCGCGCUGCAUUAGCUAGUUGGUAAGGUAACGGCUUACCAAGGCAACGAUGCAUAGCCGACCUGAGAGGGUGAUCGGCCACACUGGAACUGAGACACGGUCCAGACUCCUACGGGAGGCAGCAGUAGGGAAUCUUCCGCAAUGGGCGAAAGCCUGACGGAGCAACGCCGCGUGAGUGAUGAAGGUCUUCGGAUCGUAAAACUCUGUUAUUAGGGAAGAACAUAUGUGUAAGUAACUGUGCACAUCUUGACGGUACCUAAUCAGAAAGCCACGGCUAACUACGUGCCAGCAGCCGCGGUAAUACGUAGGUGGCAAGCGUUAUCCGGAAUUAUUGGGCGUAAAGCGCGCGUAGGCGGUUUUUUAGUCUGAUGUGAAAGCCCACGGCUCAACCGUGGAGGGUCAUUGGAAACUGGAAAACUUGAGUGCAGAAGAGGAAAGUGGAAUUCCAUGUGUAGCGGUGAAAUGCGCAGAGAUAUGGAGGAACACCAGUGGCGAAGGCGACUUUCUGGUCUGUAACUGACGCUGAUGUGCGAAAGCGUGGGGAUCAAACAGGAUUAGAUACCCUGGUAGUCCACGCCGUAAACGAUGAGUGCUAAGUGUUAGGGGGUUUCCGCCCCUUAGUGCUGCAGCUAACGCAUUAAGCACUCCGCCUGGGGAGUACGACCGCAAGGUUGAAACUCAAAGGAAUUGACGGGGACCCGCACAAGCGGUGGAGCAUGUGGUUUAAUUCGAAGCAACGCGAAGAACCUUACCAAAUCUUGACAUCCUUUGACAACUCUAGAGAUAGAGCUUUCCCCUUCGGGGGACAAAGUGACAGGUGGUGCAUGGUCGUCGUCAGCUCGUGUCGUGAGAUGUUGGGUUAAGUCCCGCAACGAGCGCAACCCUUAAGCUUAGUUGCCAUCAUUAAGUUGGGCACUCUAAGUUGACUGCCGGUGACAAACCGGAGGAAGGUGGGGAUGACGUCAAAUCAUCAUGCCCCUUAUGAUUUGGGCUACACACGUGCUACAAUGGACAAUACAAAGGGCAGCGAAACCGCGAGGUCAAGCAAAUCCCAUAAAGUUGUUCUCAGUUCGGAUUGUAGUCUGCAACUCGACUACAUGAAGCUGGAAUCGCUAGUAAUCGUAGAUCAGCAUGCUACGGUGAAUACGUUCCCGGGUCU
This 1371-nucleotide ribosomal RNA is filed under the name uncultured bacterium. RNAcentral's name for it is "bacterial SSU rRNA". It matches the Rfam family "Bacterial small subunit ribosomal RNA", at positions 28 to 1381 of the family's 1533-position model. The record is from RNAcentral.